GCUCGGAUGGUGGAAUGGUAGACACAAGGGAUUUAAAAUCCCUUGCUCUUCGGAGCGUGCAGGUUCAAGUCCUGUUCCGAGCA
RNAcentral lists this transfer RNA (83 nucleotides) under Simkaniaceae bacterium. RNAcentral describes it as "tRNA-Leu". It matches the Rfam family "tRNA". Rfam says of the family: Transfer RNA (tRNA) molecules are approximately 80 nucleotides in length. Their secondary structure includes four short double-helical elements and three loops (D, anti-codon, and T loops). The record is from RNAcentral. Lineage: Bacteria; Pseudomonadati; Chlamydiota; Chlamydiia; Parachlamydiales; Simkaniaceae.